This 73-nucleotide transfer RNA is filed under the name Camelus bactrianus (Bactrian camel). It matches the Rfam family "tRNA". Rfam says of the family: Transfer RNA (tRNA) molecules are approximately 80 nucleotides in length. Their secondary structure includes four short double-helical elements and three loops (D, anti-codon, and T loops). RNAcentral also lists the same sequence under 2 other names. The record is from Rfam by way of RNAcentral. Lineage: Eukaryota; Metazoa; Chordata; Mammalia; Artiodactyla; Camelidae.
GAGGGUAUAGCUCAAGCGGUAGAGUGCAUGCUUAGCAUGCAUGAGGUCCUGGGUUCAAUCCCCAGGACCUCCC